This 449-nucleotide ribosomal RNA is filed under the name uncultured bacterium. RNAcentral describes it as "partial 16S ribosomal RNA". It matches the Rfam family "Bacterial small subunit ribosomal RNA", at positions 29 to 523 of the family's 1533-position model. The record is from RNAcentral.
AACGAACGCUGGCGGCAUGCCUAACACAUGCAAGUCGAACGAAGGCUUCGGCCUUAGUGGCGCACGGGUGUGUAACGCGUGGGAACCUGCCUGGCAGUGGGGAAUAACCCUGGGAAACUGGGGCUAAUACCGCAUACGCCCUUUUGGGGAAAGAUUUAUCGCUGUCAGAUGGGCCCGCGUCGGAUUAGGUAGUUGGUGAGGUAACGGCUCACCAAGCCGACGAUCCGUAGCUGGUCUGAGAGGAUGACCAGCCACACUGGGACUGAGACACGGCCCAGACGCCUACGGGAGGCAGCAGUGGGGAAUAUUGGACAAUGGGGGAAACCCUGAUCCAGCAAUGCCGCGUGAGUGAUGAAGGCCUUCGGGUUGUAAAGCUCUUUCAGGUGGGACGAUGAUGACGGUGCCACCAGAAGAAGCCCCGGCUAACUUCGUGCCAGCCGCCGCGGUAA